AACGCACAUUGCGCCCCUUGGUAUUCCGAGGGGCAUACUUGUUCGAGCGUCAUUACAACCCCCAAGCAUUGCUUAGUAUUGGGCUCCGCUGUUCACCUAGCGGGCCUUAAAACUAGUGGCGGUGCCAUCGAGGCUCUGAGCGUAGUAAAUAUCCUCGCUAUAGGAACCCGGCGGACGCUGGCCAUCAACCCCUAACUUUCUAAGUUGACCUCGAAUCAGGUAGGCAUACCCGCUGAACUUAA
Molecule: unclassified non-coding RNA, 242 nt
Filed under: uncultured fungus
Lineage: Eukaryota; Fungi
Description: sequence contains ITS2
Source: RNAcentral